Molecule: long non-coding RNA, 1366 nt
Organism: Triticum dicoccoides
Lineage: Eukaryota; Viridiplantae; Streptophyta; Magnoliopsida; Poales; Poaceae
Exons: 7
Source: RefSeq, a predicted model, not a curated record
UCCAGCAGCGCCAUCUAGCAAGGACAACGGACACGCGGCCGCAAACCAGCUGCCCCUUCCCUCCUCACUUCAUAUCCUCUUCUCUUGGAUCCCCUCUCUCGUCUAGCUCGCCGGGGGCACCGCCGCUCGUCGUUGCAACACCGGUCACAGGAACCGGCGGGAUUCGGCAGCCCUCAGUCUGGAUCGACGUCCAUGCCUCCAGCUUCGACAUGCACGCCAGUUGGACGGCGCCGUGAAUCGCCUCGUUUUCUAGUGCGUUCUUGCUCCCAGCGUGCAGGAACCUCUUGGACCGAGGUCGCCUUCCUCGGUUCCGUCAGCCGCCGCGGUCGUCAUCCUCACCGAACAGCUAUAGGGACUUUGAGGGGCUCUGCUUUGUCCACAUCUGCUCUGGACCACAGAUUUGAAGCCGCGGAUCCCUCCUACUUCUUCCUGACGCUGACUGCCAUUACCGCUGCCCAUAGCUCGUUGCUCUGCUCUCUCCGACCUCGCCACUAACAGCAGGAUGAGAGAAAGAGAGAUUGAUUUGCUAGUGCAAGUAUCUAAUGAGCCAGAUGCCAGCUGGUUUGAUCUUUUCAGCAAACGCUAUUGGGAAGUUGUGAGUGUGGGAGCGACACUGUUUUUAUUUCAGUAACUUGCUGGCAUAAAUGUUGUCGUGUACUACUCUACGUCCAUGUUCCACAGUACAGGCCUUGCAUCUAAUGUUGCAGCGAGUGCUCUUGUUCGGUGAUGCCAAUGUUUUUGGCACCAUGAUUGCAUCUCCACUGAUGGUCAAGCAAGGAAGGAAGAGCCUUCUCAUAACAAGAUUAUCUGGAAUGGCUUGUCGAUGUUACUCUUGUCAUUGUCCUUCACCUGGAAGGCUUUAGCACCUUAUUAUGGCACUCUUGCUGUUGUUGGCACUGUCCUGUUGGGGACAUAGGUGUGUGUGGUUGCUGAGUUAUCUGCAUAGUUUUGAACUUCUGAUAAGAAAAAUCCACCGUCGCCAUGCUACUAUGUCCUUUUUAAGUGGCCUGGAUCCGCUCGUGCUUGGUGCAGCGAGAUGCAUGGUGCUGCGGGAGUUGUGGCGGACAUGGACAGAUGAAUUCACAUGAUCUUGAGAUUGCAUGGGACCCUAUGUUGUUCACACAUAAGGUGUAUGAUCUUGACCUCGCUGAACCCUGUCUUGGUAAAUUUAUCAGUUCCUUACAUCUGUCUGUGUAACUUUGAACCCAGUUUAGACAUACUCAGUUUCAUAGGGCAGACGAGUAAGGAAAAGCAAUUGAUGUUGUUAAGAAGCAUUGGGGAAAGUCUGUAUCUUGGAAUCACUUAUGUCUGUUGUUUCAAUUGCUUGUAUGAUAAAAUUUAUUGCGUGAAGAAUUUGCUUUUGCAG